RNAcentral lists this ribosomal RNA (253 nucleotides) under uncultured bacterium. RNAcentral describes it as "partial 16S ribosomal RNA". It matches the Rfam family "Bacterial small subunit ribosomal RNA", at positions 524 to 776 of the family's 1533-position model. The record is from RNAcentral.
UACGUAGGGGGCAAGCGUUGUUCGGAAUUACUGGGCGUAAAGGGUGCGUAGGCGGCCCGGCAAGUCAGGAGUGAAAGCCCUGGGCUCAACCCGGGAACUGCUUUUGAAACUGCCGAGCUAGAGUGCGGAAGGGGCAACUGGAAUUCCCAGUGUAGCGGUGAAAUGCGUAGAUAUUGGGAAGAACACCUGAGGCGAAGGCGGGUUGCUGGGCCGACACUGACGCUGAUGCGCGAAAGCCAGGGGAGCGAACGGG